Long non-coding RNA from Urocitellus parryii (Arctic ground squirrel), 596 nucleotides. RefSeq lists it as uncharacterized. The record is from RefSeq and is a predicted model, not a curated record. Lineage: Eukaryota; Metazoa; Chordata; Mammalia; Rodentia; Sciuridae.
CUCAUCAAUCUAGCGGGAGAGACGGGAUAACCUGUCUGAAAGUAUAGUACCACUAGCGCUCCGCCGAAAAAACACUAAAAAAAAAAAAAAAUCACCAAAAAUAACUUGGAGCAAAAGACAAUYCGCGAAGCUUCGCCAGGGUUGACGCAGUGGGUUUUGACCUUUAGGAAAGAGCCAAUUCUGGAAAACAACCUAACUUCUUUGAUUGAAUACACACAUAAUGCUUUGGAACAUGAUAGGAGAUUAAGGUUUAAUAAUGACAAAAUGAAGACCACAAUAAAACAGCCCCCUACUAGCCCAGGAAUUCUUACUUUGUGGAUAUUACUAUCCCUUCCUCAUGGAAAAUGUUUUAUUCUAAGUGUUGUUUCUCAUUGAGUAUUAUCAAAAAGGAGAAAAAUUAUUGUCCUAAAUUUUUGAGAUAGAUUUGGCAAUAGUAAGUAUUUAGAUAUAUCACAUAUCUGAGAGAAGAAGAGAUCAUCAGUAUAUUCCUAUCUACUAAAAAGUUUUAUUUUCUUUUAUCAAAGGAUUUUUUCUUUUAUAACUUGUUACUAAUAGCUUGAGCCCCUUUAAUGCAGAACUAACCCCCUCACCAGCAC